AUCACUCAGUGUACAACAUGGCUACAUCCCCUAUCUUGGGUGAAGUAUCUUCUUGCAUAAUUGAAACAGCCAGUCUACCAGAAACAAGGACAUGACACCAAUCUUGAUAUUAUCAUCUAAAAGGAGCGUGUGGCGUGAGCAGUUAUUGGUAUUAAGUCAUAACACUCAGUUUACAGUAUGGCUACAUCCCCUAUCUUGUGAGAACCAUCUACCAACAUAAAUGAAAGAGCUAGUCUACCAGAGUCAAGGACAUGACACACACCAAUCUUGAAAUCAUCUACAUGGAAUGUCGGGUGUAAAGAUUUAUUGUUAUUAAGUCAAAUCACUCAGUGUACAGCAUGGAUACAUCUCUCAUCUUGUAUGAACCAUCUUCCAGCAUAAAUGAGAGAGCUAGUCUACAUGUACCAGAGAAAAGGAUAUGACACCAAUCUUGAUAUUAUCAUCAGCAUGGAAUGUCUGUGACCAGUUAAUGGUAUUUAGUCAUAUCACUCAGUGUACAGCAUGGAUACAUCUCUCAUCUUGUAUGAACCAUCUUCCAGCAUAAAUGAGAGAGCUAGUCUACCAGAGAAAAGGAUAUGACACCAAUCUUGAUAUUAUCAUCAGCAUGGAAUGUCGAAAGUGAGCAGUUAUUGGUAUUAGUCAUAUCACUCAGUGUACAGCAUGGUUACAUACCCUAUCUUUUGUUAACCAUCUUCCAGCAUAAAGAGAGAGAGCAAGUCUACCAGAACCAAGGACCUGACACCAAUCUUGAAAUCAUCAUCAACAUGGAAUGUCUGGCGUGACCAGUUAUGGGUAUUUAGUCAUAUCACUCAAUGUACAGCAUGGAUACGUCUCUUAUCUUGUGUGAACCAUCUACCAACAUAAAUGAGAGAGCUAGUUUACCCCCGGGGAGGGGGGGGGGCCACUUACAUUGACGAGUGGAUACCAUGCGCGACCAAAAAAACUCGUAAAAAGGAUGUCUUUUUCACGAUAGGGCACGUUACGUACGUAACGUGAUAAGGGUGUCAAAAACACAAAAAUAAUGAAAAAAGGGUAUCUAUUUCGCUAGGUGUUUAGGGUCGAAUUUGCGGGGAUGAUAAAACAAAAUUAAAAUGUUUUAUAAAGGAUGUCCUUUUUGCCCCAACACUUCGUGUUUAGAGUCCGAUUUGCGCGAGGUGUAGAAGGUGGGGUCGUACUAAACCAAAUAAGGUAAAGCCGACGACCGAAGGACCCAUAACAUUAAAACAUUCCUGUACUUGUUUAGGGGUUCAUUUCAGGGAACAUUUGCCAAGAGUAUCGUUUUGUUACCAAUACUUGUUAAGGGUAGGGUUUCACACGCCAAUACUUGUUAAGGGGCGCAUUUUCAGAAUAUGGAAAUUACGUGUUUAGGGUGCUUUUCGAGACUCCAUGGUCGCGCAUGGUAUCCACUCGUGAAUGGAAGUGGCCCCCCCGGGAGUUUACCACAGACAAUGACAUUACACCAAUCUUGAAAUCAUCAUUUACAUGGAAUGGAUAGUGUGAGCAGCUAUUGAUAUUAAGGUGAGUUAUGAUCCAAAAAGUGCAUUGAAAACCUAGGCUCCUUAAACAAUUUACC
Molecule: long non-coding RNA, 1573 nt
Organism: Lytechinus pictus (painted urchin)
Lineage: Eukaryota; Metazoa; Echinodermata; Echinoidea; Temnopleuroida; Toxopneustidae
Exons: 6
Source: RefSeq, a predicted model, not a curated record